Molecule: transfer RNA, 73 nt
Filed under: Ruoffia tabacinasalis
Lineage: Bacteria; Bacillati; Bacillota; Bacilli; Lactobacillales; Aerococcaceae
Also listed under: 8 other names
Description: tRNA-Val
Rfam family: tRNA
About the family: Transfer RNA (tRNA) molecules are approximately 80 nucleotides in length.
Source: RNAcentral
GGAGGAUUAGCUCAGCUGGGAGAGCGUCUGCCUUACAAGCAGGAUGUCGGCGGUUCGAUCCCGUCAUCCUCCA